Molecule: ribosomal RNA, 232 nt
Filed under: uncultured bacterium
Lineage: Bacteria
Description: partial 16S ribosomal RNA
Rfam family: Bacterial small subunit ribosomal RNA
Source: RNAcentral
CGGGACGGGUGGGUAAUGUCUGGGAAACUGCCUGAUGGAGGGGGAUAACUACUGGAAACGGUAGCUAAUACCGCAUAACGUCGCAAGACCAAAGAGGGGACCUUCGGGCCUCUUGCCAUCGGAUGUGCCCAGAUGGGAUUAGCUAGUAGGUGGGGUAACGGCUCACCUAGGCGACGAUCCCUAGCUGGUCUGAGAGGAUGACCAGCCACACUGGAACUGAGACACGGUCCAG